ACUGGUCUGAGAGGAUGAUCAGNCACACUGGAACUGAGACACGGUCCAGACUCCUACUGGAGGCAGCAGUGGGGAAUAUUGGACAAUGGGCGAAAGCCUGAUCCAGCCAUGCCGCGUGUGUGAAGAAGGUCUUCGGAUUGUAAAGCACUUUAAGUUGGGAGGAAGGGCAGUUACCUAAUACGUGAUUGUUUUGACGUUACCGACAGAAUAAGCACCGGCUAACUCUGUGUCAGCAGCCGCGGUAAUACAGAGGGUGCAAGCGUUAAUCGGAAUUACUGGGCGUAAAGCGCGCGUAGGUGGUUUGUUAAGUUGGAUGUGAAAUCCCCGGGCUCAWCCUGGGAACUGCAUUCAAAACUGACUGACUAGAGUAUGGUAGAGGGUGGUGGAAUUUCCUGUGUAGCGGUGAAAUG
This 410-nucleotide ribosomal RNA is filed under the name Pseudomonas sp. Z26. Its description in RNAcentral is "bacterial SSU rRNA". It matches the Rfam family "Bacterial small subunit ribosomal RNA", at positions 286 to 688 of the family's 1533-position model. Lineage: Bacteria; Pseudomonadati; Pseudomonadota; Gammaproteobacteria; Pseudomonadales; Pseudomonadaceae. The record is from RNAcentral.